AGGAAGCAAAGGGCCAAUUAACGGAAACGCGAGAACAGUCACGUAUAUUUUGACAUGAGGCUUCCUCAUGAUAUUUCGAAAUUACCUGGAUCCUACGACCUCGAGAGAGAGAGGUGAAUAUCAUGAGCAUUGAUGAAUAUAAAUCUUAUGCAACGUUUUAUUGAUUUCUGACGUAAUACGAGCAAAAGACUGGGUAGAUGAUACGGGAAAAACGUAUGGGUUACUAUACAUAGGAUUGAAAACCGCGAAGCAUCUAUUCACAGUUUGUGUUCACGCGAUGCUCGCAUGGUUACAAGUUCGAUGUUUGAAAAAUCCUACCCGGACCCGGUCAUUUUCUAAUUUCCUAGCGUGCAAUCUUGAGUGGACGUUGGUCCAUUGAUUAGAGGUUCCGGCGAGGUUCUCUUAUCUUCGCCUUUUUUCAUCAUGUACUCAUUAUCGAAAUAGCGAGCGAAAAAAUUAGACUGCAUGCAAAAAAAUGACUUCCAUUGCUAUUCCUUAAAUUUGUUAAACAUAAUUAAUCUGUCACCGUGAUGCAUUGAGGAUUAGUGACUUACCGACUCUGGAUAGCAAAAAAACAUGAAAUAAGAAAUUCGUAUUGGAUUGCGAAUAAGAAUUUCGCAAUUGAUGGAUGUCAAAGAGUUGUCAAAUACGGUGCCGACAUUCGACAAUUUUCAGAAAUUUUGUGGAUUUAUCGCGUCACGCUAGACAAAAUAAAAUUAUGUAAUUCCAUCAGAGACGCUGUCUGCCUAUUUUGACCUUUCCGAGUAAUAGAUAUAGGCUUCAAGAAUCCAAACAUAAUGACCACAUAAGGAAGAAAACAGUCAUCGUAUAAUUAUCUUGUUGAUAUCUGUAGCAUACAUGAAAAUCAAGGAAUUAGUCAUUGUUUUGUCAAAUUCGCUUUUUUUUUUUAGUCUUAUCUUUUUUUUAAUGGCUAUCGUCUGUGCAAUAAUCGACAAUCCGUCGAUUAUUUAUCAUCAGGAAUUUGUUAAAAAACAUUAUCGAAACAAAGAAUAAGAAUUAUUCAUAUGAUUAUUUGUUUCUUGUUUUUUUUGAAAUAAUAGAAAUGAUAAGAUGCGAAACGUAAAGUAAAAUU
Molecule: long non-coding RNA, 1093 nt
Organism: Apis laboriosa (Himalayan honeybee)
Lineage: Eukaryota; Metazoa; Arthropoda; Insecta; Hymenoptera; Apidae
Exons: 3
Source: RefSeq, a predicted model, not a curated record